AUUUUCCUACGGGGGGCAGCAGUAGGGAAUUUUCGUCAAUGGGCGCAAGCCUGAACGAGCAAUGCCGCGUGAACGAGGAAGGUCUUCGGAUCGUAAAGUUCUGUUGAAGGGGAAAAAGAGCGGAGAGAGGAAAUGGUCUCCGAUUGAUAUUACCCUUCGAGGAAGUCAGGGCUAACUACGUGCAAGCAGCCGCGGUAAUACGUAGGUGGCGAGCGUUAUCCGGAAUGAUUGGGCGUAAAGGGGGCGUAGGCGGCCGGCUAAGUCUGGAGAGAAAGGUACCGGCUCAACCG
RNAcentral lists this ribosomal RNA (290 nucleotides) under uncultured bacterium. Its description in RNAcentral is "partial 16S ribosomal RNA". It matches the Rfam family "Bacterial small subunit ribosomal RNA", at positions 333 to 615 of the family's 1533-position model. The record is from RNAcentral.